AGAGUUUGAUCCUGGCUCAGGAUGAACGCUAGCGACAGGCCUAACACAUGCAAGUCGAGGGGCAUCGGGACGUAGCAAUACGUUGCCGGCGACCGGCGGAUGGGUGAGUAACGCGUAUGCAACCUACCCGUAGCAGGGGGAUAGCCCGUUGAAAGACGGAUUAAUACCCCGUAACACAGGGGCUCCGCAUGGAGAUUAUUGUUAAAGGGUCAUUUCUUUUAGAGGUGGUCCGGCUACGGAUGGGCAUGCGUUCCAUUAGGUAGUUGGUGUAGGUAACGGCUCACCAAGCCGACGAUGGAUAGGGGAACUGAGAGGUUGGUCCCCCACACUGGUACUGAGACACGGACCAGACUCCUACGGGAGGCAGCAGUGAGGAAUCUUGGUCAAUGGACGCAAGUCUGAACCAGCCAUGUCGCGUGAAGGAGGACGGCCCUAAGGGUUGUAAACUUCUUUUGCAGUGGAAUAAAGUUUGCCACGAGUUGGCGAUUUGCAAGUACGCUGCGAAUAAGGAUCGGCUAACUCCGUGCCAGCAGCCGCGGUAAUACGGAGGAUCCGGGCGUUAUCCGGAUUUAUUGGGUUUAAAGGGUGCGCAGGCGGGGAUUUAGGUCGGCGGUGAAAUUUCGGGGCUCAACCUCGAUAGUGCCGUUGAAACCGUUUCUCUUGAGUGCGGAUGAGGUAGGCGGAAUUUGUGGUGUAGCGGUGAAAUGCGUAGAUAUCACAAGGAACACCGAUUGCGGAGGCAGCUUACUAAACCGUUACUGACGCUCAUGCACGAANGCGUGGGGAUCAAACAGGAUUAGAUACCCUGUAGUCCACGCAGUAAACGAUGAUUACUUGCUGUUUGCGAUACACAGUAAGCGGCGAAGCGAAAGCGUUAAGUAAUCCACCUGGGGAGUACGUUCGCAAGAAUGAAACUCAAAGGAAUUGA
This 928-nucleotide ribosomal RNA is filed under the name uncultured bacterium. RNAcentral's name for it is "bacterial SSU rRNA". It matches the Rfam family "Bacterial small subunit ribosomal RNA", at positions 8 to 913 of the family's 1533-position model. The record is from RNAcentral.